Molecule: ribosomal RNA, 1034 nt
Filed under: uncultured soil eukaryote
Lineage: Eukaryota
Description: SSU rRNA
Rfam family: Eukaryotic small subunit ribosomal RNA
Source: RNAcentral
AGAAUCUAUACGGAUAACUUUCGUAACCGACAGCUAAUACGACUGAAACUGGGCAUCGCAAGGUGCCCUGGUCUUGUUGGCGCUAAAAUCAAUCCUCGCAAGAGGUCCUGAUGAAUCACAACAAUUCGCGUGGUGUCCUCGCGACACCGACUCGCUCGUGUUCACGUCCGAUUAGGCUUCGUUUCGUUGGUAGUGUAUUGGACUACCAAACCCGCAAUCGGUAACGGGGGUUUAGGGACCGACUCCGGCGAGAAAGCCUGAGAAACGGCUUUCAGUUCUAUGGAAUGCAGCAGUUGCGAAACGUGCCCAAUGAACCCAGUGUUCGAGGCCGAGACGACCAAUAUCAAAGCGAGGCUCUCAGAGUUUUGCUAUUGAAAUGGAUUAGGUUUAAACCACCUGGUGAGGAUCAAGCAGAGGGAGAGUCUGGUGCCAGCAGCCGCGGUAAUUCCAGCUCUGCGAAGGAACGUAUAAAUUGUUGCAGUUAAAAAACGCGUAGCAGUGUGUCGCUCUAUUUUGUGGUUAUUUUGUUUCCCGAAAGGGGAAUGAAGUAGCCACGUAGAGUUUCGAUCACAUCGCUAUGAUUCGAAAGAGUCGUAGUGGAUUGAUCACUAUUACUGUGAGUAAAUCGGAACGCUCAAGGUGGGUAAUUGCUUGAACGUUUCUCAUGGAAUAAUCCCUUUAAGAUAUUAAAGGUUGAUUGGUUUCCUUUAACGUCUUUUCAAACAGGAACAGGUGGGGGAGAUCGUACCUUGCAGCUAGAGGUGAAAUUCUUUGAUUUGCAAGAGACGAACAACAGCGAAGGCAUUCUCCAAAAAUGUUUUCAUUUGUCAAGCGUGAAAGCCGGAGGAUCGAAGAAGAUUAGAUACCUUUGUAGUUCCGGCCCUAAACGAUGCCGACUCGGGAUUAGAGGUCGUUAUUUUGACUCCUCUAGUACCGUAUGAGAAAUCAAAGUCUUUGGGUUCCGGGGGGAGUAUGAUCGCAAGGUUGAAACUUAAAGAAAUUGACGGAAGGGCACACCAGUAGUGGAGCCUGCG